RNAcentral lists this ribosomal RNA (447 nucleotides) under uncultured bacterium. Its description in RNAcentral is "bacterial SSU rRNA". It matches the Rfam family "Bacterial small subunit ribosomal RNA", at positions 355 to 825 of the family's 1533-position model. The record is from RNAcentral.
UGGGGAAUCUUGGACAAUGGGCGCAAGCCUGAUCCAGCCAUGCCGCGUGGAUGAUGAAGGCCUUAGGGUUGUAAAAUCCUUUCGUGGGGGACGAUAAUGACGGUACCCCAAGAAGAAGCUCCGGCUAACUUCGUGCCAGCAGCCGCGGUAAUACGAAGGGGGCUAGCGUUGUUCGGAUUUACUGGGCAUAAAGCGCGUGUAGGCGGGUCGUUAAGUUGGGGGUGAAAUCCCGAGGCUCAACCUCGGAACUGCCUUCAAAACUGGCGACCUGGACUCAAGCAGAGGCAAGUGGAAUUGCGAGUGUAGAGGUGAAAUUCGUAGAUAUUCGCAGGAACACCAGUGGCGAAGGCGACUUGCUGGGCUUGUAGUGACGCUGAGACGCGAAAGCGUGGGGAGCAAACAGGAUUAGAUACCCCAGUAGUCCCUGAGCGGGCUGGCAAGGCGCAU